AGUCRAGAGGAAACAGCCCAGAGCAUCGACUAAGGCCCCUAAGCGUACGCUAAGUGGGAAAGGAUGUGGAGUCGCAGAGACAACCAGGAGGUUGGCUUAGAAGCAGCCACCCUUGAAAGAGUGCGUAAUAGCUCACUGGUCAAGUGAUUCCGCGCCGACAAUGUAGCGGGGCUCAAGCGUACCGCCGAAGUCGUGUCAUUCCCRCAURUACGGCCAACGSCKGCKGGGAUGGGUAGGGGAGCGUCGUGUGCCGGGUGAAGCAGCCGCGGAAGCGAGUUGUGGACGGUUCACGAGUGAGAAUGCAGGCAUGAGUAGCGAUACACACGUGAGAAACGUGUGCGCCGAUUGACUAAGGGUUCCUGGGUCAAGCUGAUCUGCCCAGGGUAAGUCGGGACCUAAGGCGAGGCCGACAGGCGUAGUCGAUGGACAACCGGUUGAUAUUCCGGUACCCGCUUUGAAACGCCCAAUACUGAAUCAGGCGAUGCUAAGUCCGUGAAGCCGGCCCGAUCUCUUCGGAGUUGAGGGUAGUGGUGGAGCCGACGAACCAGACUUGUACUAGGUAAGCGAUGGGGUGACGCAGGAAGGUAGUCCAGCCCGGGCGGUGGUUGUCCCGGGGUAAGGGUGUAGGACGCACGGUAGGCAAAUCCGUCGUGCAUAUAAGUCUGAGACCUGAUGCCGAGCCGAUUGUGGUGAAGUGGAUGAUCCUAUGCUGUCGAGAAAAGCCUCUAGCGAGUUUCAUGGCGGCCCGUACCCUAAACCGACUCAGGUAGUCAGGUAGAGAAUACCGAGGCGUUCGGGUGAACUAUGGUUAAGGAACUCGGCAAAAUGCCCCCGUAACUUCGGGAGAAGGGGGGCCAUCACUGGUGAUCCGAUUUACUCGGUGAGCUGGGGGUGGCCGCAGAGACCAGCGAGAAGCGACUGUUUACUAAAAACACAGGUCCGUGCGAAGCCGUAAGGCGAUGUAUACGGACUGACGCCUGCCCGGUGCUGGAACGUUAAGGGGAACCGGUUAGCUG
This 1016-nucleotide ribosomal RNA is filed under the name Streptomyces pratensis. Its description in RNAcentral is "partial 23S ribosomal RNA". The record is from RNAcentral. Lineage: Bacteria; Bacillati; Actinomycetota; Actinomycetes; Kitasatosporales; Streptomycetaceae.